Leucoraja erinaceus (little skate) is the source of this 6907-nucleotide long non-coding RNA. RefSeq lists it as uncharacterized. The transcript is spliced from 4 exons. Lineage: Eukaryota; Metazoa; Chordata; Chondrichthyes; Rajiformes; Rajidae. The record is from RefSeq and is a predicted model, not a curated record.
AAGGUAGACACAAAGAGUGGUGAAUCUGGGGAAUUCUCUGCCAUGGAAGGUAGUUGAGGCCAGUUAAUUGGCUAUAGUUAAGAGGGAGUUAGAUGUGGCCCUUGUGGCUGAAGGGAUCAGGGGGUAUGGAGAGAAGGCCGGUACAGGAUACUGAGUUGGAUGAUCAGCCAUGAUCAUAUUGAAUGGCGGUGCAGGCUCGAAGGGCCGAAUGGCUUACUCCUGCACCUAUUUUCUAUGUUUCUAAAAUGCUGGAGUAAGCCAGCUGGUCAGCCAGCAACUCUGGGAAAAAUGGAUAGGUAAUGUUUCAGAUCAGGGCCCUUCUUCAGGCUGAUUGUACACACAAACAUGUACAGACAAAGAAAAUGAAGCUGUGUCUUUCUAUUAAAUUCAAUUCAAUUCAAGAGAACGUUUGUGGCAGCACCUCUGGGAAGGGGAAGUGAAAGUGGCAAUUGAUGCAGGAGCCUGAAAACGGUAGGAAAGACCCUGUUCCAAAGUCUGCACAUCUGAGCUUUCUUCUCUCAAAAGGUAGAAUGAGAAUAGGGAAUGGCCAGGAUGACAACCUCUCUGAUGCAACACACUGUGAAGAUGGGCUAUGUUCACCACUCUCUGCAAGUUCAGACCAUCAAUAACACAACAGGCUGAGGUGCAUCCCAUCAGCAUGUCUGUAGAAGUUGGAGAAAAUCCUCCUGAACAUGCUGAAUCUUCUCAGGUACCUAAACAAAUACACUGAGCUUUCCUGAACACCACAUCAGUGUAAAGGGACCAGGUAAGGUUUCUAUUGAUAUGGAUGCCUAGGAAUGUAAACAUGGCCAAUCUCCAGUCCCAUCUUAUAGGGACCUUUUCAGAUACAUUAAGUCUUCCUAGUGUUUAACAAGGAACUGCAGAUGCUGGAAAAUCGAAAGUAGACAAAAAUGCUGGAGAAACUCAGUGGGUGAGGCAGCAUCUAUGGAGCGAAGGAAAUAGGCAACGUUUCAGGCCAAAACCCUUCUUCAGACUCGACAUCCUAGUACUUUAUCAAUUUUCAUAAUUUCCAACAUCCUACCCAACCUUUUACUGCUCUCCUCUUACCACAUGCCAUUAAAACAUUGUUGGAUUCCUCUUUACAUAACCCAUUUUUUUAUCCAUUCUCUCUCUUGGCUUAUUUUCCAUCCUAUGUUUCUAUAGUUAGCAUGGUUCUCAAUGGAGUUAAGUACAAUAUAGGCAUCAUAGGUUUCUUUCAUUACAUUUGCCAUCUCCUUAUUAUCUAAGCAACUCAGGGUUAACUUCCAUUUCUUACCUCCCCUGUGGAACAUUCCUUGCCUGACCAGUAACAGCCCCUCUUCCAAGGUCACUCGUUGUUUUUCCAUUUCAGUCUGAUUUUCCCUGAAAUAUUUUGGGAUAUUUUUUGCUCGUGCUAUAGUCUGUAUAUAAAUGGAAGUUGUUGAUUUCAAAACUCCAGAUAACUGGAUCUUCAUUCAACUUGUGGCCUCAUCUGUCUCUGAAGUGAGAGACCUGACAUUGCAGCCAAAGUGCCACUUUUGGCAUGAGACGAACAUUUUUCAAAUGUUACCUCACAAUUUAGUGCUCUGCACAACUGCAACUAAAGUACUUAUUUUGGUCAAAGCUACUUCUUAAUAAUUGAUUUUUAUUACCACUUUCGUCACUGUGGACUAAACCAUUGCAGCUGAAUCCAAUUAACACCGGAAAAACCAGGAUCAAAUCCCAUCUGGAGGAUGUCCCUUCUGCAGUAGGCAUCAAAGCUCAGGAAGUGCAUCCGGCCCUUGCAAGGUGAUAGGGUGCAGAUUCACUAGUAUUAUACUAGUCCUAAAAGGGUUAAAUUAGGAGGACAAUUAUGUGCAUGGAUAGGUGAUCAUAAAAGAUCAACUUGUGGUUUGGAUUGAGGUAUUAACAGCACAUCAGAGAAAAACUGUUUCUUAUACAGAUUUCUAUAUGUUGGGGUCAUAGCCUUAAUACUGGAACUCAAACUAAUGCAUUUUAAUUUAAUUUACGAAAAUGGCCUGUUUAAAACUCUUUUUUUUUUUAAAUUCUCUUUGCCUCAGCUGAUUUUAUAUCAUUGUUUUUUUUUCUUUGAGUGUUUUAUGAACUUUCUAGUUUUGGCAGAACACUCAGAUCACUUGGAAAAUGAAAGAUCUGGGCAGAUAGCUUGAAGGCUCUUUUAAUCUGCCUCCCAUUUACUCUGUGUAAAAAACUGGUUUAGAUUAUAACAGCUGUCAGCACGUGUCUUAUCUGUUUGAAAUUCAAAGUGUUUAUUCGUGACCAAGUGCGCUUUGCCUGUUGGGGGAGUGUAAGCUUUGAAUUCGAGACCUCUUGGUGCAUUCCAACUGUUGCGUGGAAGACAAUUACUGGCCCCUUUAAAACCUUGGAAGAUUAAUGGGAUUAAUUUAGUUUGGGAUUCAAGAGCUCCUGAGGGAAGAUUACAGUUGUCCAGAUUGCAUUGUGUAGCGUCAGGUCAGAAGGUGAUGAUGGCGGGGGAUUGGUAUGACAAACUCCAUUCCUCUUUUCACCCAGGCCACCUGCCUCAGGAUAUUUGCCAAAAAUUUGCACAUUCCGUGAAGGAUUAAAACAAAAUGAGUGUUAAAGGAGUUCAUCCAAGCUGGCUGUUGCUGACAUAAGAUCAUGACUGGACUAAACAACAAACCGUUUCCUGUUUUUAUCUUAGGUUUCCAAUUUUCUCUUUUUUUUUAAAGAAUCAUUACAAGAUACAAGAUACAUAAGCUGGGUGGAGAUUCAAUGCUGGCGGCCCUCGGCAAAAGGGCCCCAGGACUUCGCGAUAUUGAAGUCAGUGCCUCCCGCGCUGGAAGCUCCAUGAACCACAGCUCCGAUGUUGAAGCAGCAGGCCCAACACUCCGGAGCUUCAAUGGUGAUCCAGAGAAACACAUGUGUGCCGUGGAGCAUGUUUGGAAUGUCACUUUACUCCGGAUGCUGGAACAAACAGAAUGUAUUCUGGAACUUGCAAAGGCUGUAUGGAAAGAGAUGCUGGAAGAACUCAGCCGGUCAAGAGGAAAGAGAAAAAAAGUCGGCGUUUCAGUUCUGCAUCUCUCCCUCAGAAGGAGCCUCAGCAAACGGACUUAAUUGGAACCACAGCACGCUCACAAUGUCAGCCCAGAUCAUGCUUAAAGGGCUGUAUUCAAACCCACCAGCGUCUGACUCAGUGCUCCUCAACAAGGCACAGCAGACACUCAAGAUGCUGUCUGACCUGCCGACUGUUUCCAGCAUAUUCAGUUCGAUACAAAUACUAAUUGUUUGAGAUCCGAAGUGAACCAUUCUUCAGAUACCGCUUCUGGAGACCAUAUCCAGCUAUUUGUCACCCAUGGCGGUAAGGUCGAGGGGGAGGUCUCUGACAAAGAGUAAUCCAACCAAGACCUCAACGCUGGACUAGGCGGAGGAUGAUGGCACAGUUUACUGGAGCGUCAAAACAGCUGGGAAAGCGGAUGAAGGCUGCAGCAGAAAAGGGUCUCCAUUCGUUUUGGACUCCAUGCUACUGGAUCCUGACCAGAUCUGUCAAGGACCGUGUGGUGGCUGUUUGUGCACCAGUCUCCUCACGUUAAACAAAGUCACGCACAGGUGUCCUCCAUAUAGGGAAUCCACCCUAACACCCUGGAUGGUUCUAUGGUGAUCAGCAAGUCUUCUUCAUUUGCUUUGAGUUUUAAUUUUGUUGACUUUCCAUGAGGUAAAGCCUCCUAUGUCUUUCAGGCACACAUUUUCAGAGACAUGAGCUGCUUUAAAGAUGCAUCCCUCAGGAUUCCAGAGGCAGAAUCUCUCAUCCUGUCCUCAGAAUAACUGUUGAAACAGCUGGGAAAGGAUCAUGGGGAAUCAAAAUUCCCUGAAGUUUCCAUUGACACGCACAGCACACACAGACAGAACAUGUUAAACUUUGAACCUUCACACAAGCCACUGGCACUAUUAAAGCCGACAGUUGAUGCAGAAUUCAGAUUAAUAUCUAAAACUCAAACAUGUCAUCACAUUAGAAAUCUGUUCUUGAGACGCACCAAAGAUAGCAACCUUACAGACUACAAACAAACGCUGAGAGUAACAUAACACACUGAUGAAGAUUAAGUUACUUGACUAACAGCCAGUGUUCUGGACUUUGCAUUGGAGGCUAAGGGGAGACUUGAGAGAAGUUUAUAAAAUUGUGAGACGUACAGGGUAAACAUUCCGAGCCUUUUUCCCAAUGAGUGGAAAUGUCAAACACUAAAUGUCAUAGGUUUAAGGUAAGGUUGGGAAGUUAAAAGGUGAAGUAUGAGACAACCGUGCCUAGAACACCAGGGGUCUUGAUACAAUAGUGAUGUUUAAGAAGCAUUGGGAGGAUAUGGAUCAUGAGCAGGCAGAUGGAAUUAGUUUAAUUUGGCUUCAUGGUUGGCACGAAUACGGUAGGCCAAAGGGCCUGUUUCUGCACUGUACUGUUCUAAAAGCUAUAUAAUAUGCUCUAUUGAUUCAGAGAUGUGAGUUCAAAUUCCACCAGAGCAGCUGGAGAAAUUAAUGUCAAGUUAUUUAAAAUUAAAAAUAAUUAACUUCCAAAAUAUCCAAUAUCCUUGCAGGUCUGUUUGCUAGUGCCACAUGGGUGGGUUUAAACUAGAUUGGUGGGGGUGACGGGUGGAGGUCAAGAUCCAAUGCAGCAAAUGAGAAGCUGAAAGUCGGUAUGGAAGGUUUAGUUUAGUUUAGCUUAGUCUAGAGAUACAGCGUGGAAACAGGCCCUUCAGCCCACCGGGUCCGCGCAGACCAGCAAUCCCCGCACAUUAACGCUAUCCUACACCCACGAGGGACAAUUUUUACAUUUACGAAGUCAAUUAACCUACAAACCUGUACGUCUUUGGAGUGUGGGAGGAAACUGAAGAUCUUGGAGAAAACCCACGCAGAUCACGGAGAGAACGUUCAAACUCCAUACAGCACCCGCAGUCAGGAUCGAAACCGGGUCUCCAGCGCUGCAUUCGCUGUAAGGCAGCAGCUCUACCGUUGCACCACCGUGACCGUCCAAGGUGAUUGAAGAAAGUUCAGUGGACAGAAUAGGCAGGAGCACGGCAGAAAAUGAGGAAGGACUGUAAGAUUGAAUUGCAUUUAUUUUAAUGUGCGAGGCCCAAUGGGUAAGCCGGAGUAGGUAGAUGUGGCUGGGAUGUUGUAGCCAUUACAGAAGCCUGAGAGAGGGGCAGGACUGGCAGCUUAAUGUUCCAGGGUACAAGUGUUUCAGGAGAGAUAGUGGUGAAGGUAAAAGAGGAGAGGCUGUUGCUUUAUUAACUAAGGUGAUUGGCAUAGCAGUUGUCUGAGAUGACAUCACUGAUGGUUCGUCCAGUGAUGGAAUAUGGUUAGAGCUGUGAAAUAAAAAGGGGAUGAUCACCUUGUUGGGAGUGUAGUAUAGGCCUCCAAAUAGUCAAUGGUAAUUAAAAGAACAAGUGUUCCAGGUUGUCAUAGUAGAGACUUUAAUAUAGAUCAAAACUGCCAUAGUGUCAAGGGCUUAGAUGAGGUGGAAUUUGAUUCAAUUGUUUUGAUUCAAUUUUAUUGUCAUUGUCUUCAAGUAAGAGCCAAUGAAAUGCUAUUUCCCAUACAGUCAUACGAAUAAAAAAAAAUAAAACACAGAACACGAUAGUCCCCAACACAAGCAUCCCCACAGCGGCACCAAAGUUCCCCACUGUGAGGGAAGGAACCAAAGUCCAGUCAACCUCCUUGCUGAUGUUCCCUGAUGUUCACCCAUCGUCAUGGCCUCCUGAGCCCCCCGCAGUCGUCGCUACGGGCGGCCUGAUGUUCAGGCCCUCUUGCCGGGAACGAUGGAACCCCGAUGUUGGGAGGAAGAACAUCCUCAGCGGCCUGGACCUCUGAAUCGGCCACCUCCCACCGGAGUCCACGGCUCCUGAAGUCCACAGGCCGAGCUGGGUGGAGAUUCAAUGCUGGCAGACCCUGGCAAAGGGUCCCAGGUCAGUGCCACCAACGUUGGGAGCUCCGCGAACUACAGCUCCGCGAUGUUGAUGCAGCAGGCCCAACACUCUGGAGCCUCAAACGGCGAUCCCAGGUGACGCAUCGCCAGCUCCGCGAUGUAUCCAGCGCUGCACCACCGCUGCUGAUGCUCUGGUCUGGUCCCAGCAGGAAAGGCUGCGCCAAUCAAGUUGGUAGGCCACGAGGAGGGGGGAGAGGCUCGACUCGGAUAAUAGGCGCAUCCUCACCAGGAAGUGACUGAAGGACGGUUUCCCACUUACCCUACCGCCCUCCCACCACAUAAAAUACAACAAAAAAACAUACUUUAAACAUACUAAAAAUGUUUAAAAAGAUAAGAAGACAAACAGACUGCAGGCGGAGGCAUCCAUCAACAGCGCCACGGGAUGUGGUGAAUUUGUCAAAAGUGUUCAGAAAAUUUCCUCAGGCAGUAUGUCGAGGCCCCUACAAGUAAAAGGGCAAAGCAGGAGAUAGCUCUGGCAUAAUGAAAAUCCAAAGUAAUGUUAUAUGUACAUUAAGGGAAAGAGGGCCCCUUUGAAAUCAAAGCAUUCAUCUCCAUCUCCAUGUGGAGUGACAGGAGAUUUACAAGAUCAAGACAAUGAUCAUAUCUUCUCUAUUUUAACGUGGAGAAAAUGAUGAAGACAGGAACGAGACAUUUAAUGGCAAUGUCUCAAAGACAAUCCCUACAAUAAACCCUUGCAAUAACGGACGUCUACAUAAUGACUUUUGGUUGUAGCUGAACAAGGCUCCCAUUGUACCGCCUCCCACUUGUGCCAGUUACCCACUGAGCUUGGUUCACGUUACGUGCUUCUGUUUGCGGGAGUGAAGAGAACGAGCAGCAUGAAAGUGGUGUGAGUACCAGCCCUGUCCCUGGUCCAGUAUCUCUGCUGCUCCCCAGACUGUGAAUUCCCACUUGUUUAACCCUCCCGACACUACGUUUCUUCCCUCCUGGCCUUGGGUUAAACCUUAUUCCCCCCCCCAUCAC